RNAcentral lists this long non-coding RNA (255 nucleotides) under Lotus japonicus. RNAcentral's name for it is "long non-coding RNA (LJAP_LNC000813)". Lineage: Eukaryota; Viridiplantae; Streptophyta; Magnoliopsida; Fabales; Fabaceae. The record is from RNAcentral.
UGAAUAGCGUUUUCAACUAAAAACUUUUCCCUCUUGAGAUUUAGACAAAUCUCUCGAACAAACAACACAAGGUGCAAAGAUAAGAGAUGAAGAGAAGCACACAAGUAUUUUAUCCUGGUUCACUUGAUAAUCGCUCAAGCUAGUCCAGUCCACCCGUUAAGGUGAUUUCUUCCUUCUUAGAAUGAAGGUAAUCCACUAUUCAAUGUUUGUUACAGCUGCACUAGCAACCUGCUCAGUGACUAACAAUACAAUGAA